GAUGAAGAACGCAGCGAAACGCGAUAUGUAAUGUGAAUUGCAGAAUUCAGUGAAUCAUCGAAUCUUUGAACGCACAUGGCGCCUUCCAGUAUCCUGGGAGGCAUGCCUGUCCGAGCGUCGUUUCAACCCUCGAGCCCCCGUGGCCCGGCGUUGGGGAUCUGCCCAGGCAGUCCCCGAAAACCAGUGGCGGACCCGUUACAGGCCCUUCCCUUGCGUAGUAGCAUUCGCCUCGCAUCGGGAGCCGGCGGGCUUCCAGCCUCUAAACCCCCAUCAAGUCCGCCCCGGCGGCACCAAGGUUGACCUCGGAUCAGGUAGGAAUACCCGCUGAACUUAAGCAUAUCAUAAGCGGAGGA
RNAcentral lists this unclassified non-coding RNA (353 nucleotides) under soil metagenome. RNAcentral describes it as "partial contains 5.8S ribosomal RNA, internal transcribed spacer 2, and large subunit ribosomal RNA". The stretch from base 1 to 120 matches the Rfam family "5.8S ribosomal RNA", at positions 35 to 154 of the family's 154-position model. The record is from RNAcentral.